This 784-nucleotide ribosomal RNA is filed under the name Evadne nordmanni. RNAcentral's name for it is "eukaryotic LSU rRNA". It matches the Rfam family "Eukaryotic large subunit ribosomal RNA", at positions 1307 to 1916 of the family's 3401-position model. The record is from RNAcentral. Lineage: Eukaryota; Metazoa; Arthropoda; Branchiopoda; Diplostraca; Podonidae.
UAGCCCUUAAAAUGGGAGGCGCUAUAGCGUUGUGCCUAUACCGGGCCGUCGGUCGGCAGUGCGAUACAUCUCCUCUCGAAGAGAGAGCAGAGGUGCUGAGGCCCCGACGAGUAGGGGGGUCGCGACGGUGAGCGUUGAAGGGUUAUGGGCGCGAGCCUGCCCGGAGCCGCCGUCGGUGCAGAUCUUGGUGGUAGUAGCAAAUACUCCAGAGGGAUCCUGGAGGACUGACGCGGAGAAGGGUUUCAUGUGAACAGUGGUUGGACAUGAGUCAGUCGAUCCUAAGCCGCAGGAGAAAUCCGACCUAGUGAAUGGCGUGAUUUAUUAAAAAAGACUCGUUGUGGCCUAUCGGCCGCGACGAUGAAUUUUUAUAUAUCAGAGGCGCUUGCUUGGUUAAGGCGAAAGGGAAUCCGGUCCUAAUUCCGGAACCAGGCUGUGGCUACGUCCGACGAACAACGAAUUAACCCUCGUUUUCUCGGUCGCGGUAACGCGACACAAACCGAAGAAGCUGUCGAGAACCCCGGGAAGAGUUUUCUUUUCUGCUUGAGGGACCGAGACCCUGGAAUUCCGUCGUGGAGCGAGAGGGUUUUGGAUACACGCUGUUAAAAAGGCGAUCCCGAAGAGCGCCGCGUUUCCGCGGCGUCCGUGGUCGUUCUCGACUGGCCCUUGAAAAUUCGGUGGGAGGGUUACGUUUUUGGACGUUCACGCCUGCUCGUACCGAUAUCCGCAUCAGGUCUCCUAGGUGAACAGCCUCUAGUCGAUAGAUGAAUGUAGGUAAGGGAAAUCG